This 434-nucleotide ribosomal RNA is filed under the name uncultured Lachnospiraceae bacterium. RNAcentral describes it as "partial 16S ribosomal RNA". It matches the Rfam family "Bacterial small subunit ribosomal RNA", at positions 341 to 792 of the family's 1533-position model. Lineage: Bacteria; Bacillati; Bacillota; Clostridia; Lachnospirales; Lachnospiraceae. The record is from RNAcentral.
ACGGAAGGCAGCAGUGGGGGAUAUUGCACAAUGGGGGAAACCCUGAUGCAGCGACGCCGCGUGAGCGAAGAAGUAUUUCGGUAUGUAAAGCUCUAUCAGCAGGGAAGAAAAUGACGGUACCUGACUAAGGAGCUCCGGCUAAAUACGUGCCAGCAGCCGCGGUAAUACGUAUGGAGCAAGCGUUAUCCGGAUUUACUGGGUGUAAAGGGAGCGUAGACGGUUUGCCAAGUCUGAUGUGAAAGGUGGGGGCUCAACCCCCAAACUGCAUUGGAAACUGGUAGACUAGAGUGUCGGAGAGGUAAGUGGAAUUCCUAGUGUAGCGGUGAAAUGCGUAGAUAUUAGGAGGAACACCAGUGGCGAAGGCGGCUUACUGGACGAUAACUGACGUUGAGGCUCGAAAGCGUGGGGAGCAAACAGGAUUAGAUACCCUGGUA